UCACGGGGGGUACGAAGCGGCCGUUGUGCAUAUGUCUGGCCACCCAUGGCCCCAUCCUGACUCCCUCCCGCACCUCCCACACCUGUCCUCACGCCAUCCCCCACCCGACCUACCCGCAGCCGCGUGGCGCUGUACGGCGUGGACGCGCUGAUCAAGGCCAAGAAGACCGACCUGAAGCACAACCUGCUGGGCGUGAUGGACGAGGAGAAGAUCCGCCUGCGCGAGGAGGUGAACGAGCAGAUCCGCGCGCUCAGCGAGCUCAAGGAGAUGGGCGCCGCCUACGGCUUCGACCUGAGCCGCCCCGCCGCCAACUCGCGCGAGGCGGUGCAGUGGCUGUACUUCGGCUACCUGGGCGCCGUCAAGGAGCAGGACGGCGCCGCCAUGAGCCUGGGCCGCAUCGACGCCUUCCUGGACACCUACUUUGAGCGCGACCUCAAGGCCGGCACCAUCACUGAGGCCGAGGUGCAGGAGCUGAUCGACCACUUCGUCAUGAAGCUGCGCAUCGUGCGGUGAGCCCGGUUUGGGCGCUGGCAGGGCGGGGCUGUGGGUCAAGCAGCGGGUGCAUGGGGGCGCAUGCAGUGUUCCAGUGCAACGCCACUUCCAAGCCUUUCCUUACCGCACGUUUGUGCGCUCCUUGCCUUGCCUUCCGCCGCC
This 654-nucleotide long non-coding RNA is filed under the name Chlamydomonas reinhardtii. RNAcentral describes it as "long non-coding RNA (CREI_LNC000060)". Lineage: Eukaryota; Viridiplantae; Chlorophyta; Chlorophyceae; Chlamydomonadales; Chlamydomonadaceae. The record is from RNAcentral.